AGGACGAACGCUUGCGGCGUGCCUAAGAAAUGCAAGUCGAGCGGAAGUAGCAAUACUUUAGCGGCGAACGGUCGCGUAACACGUAGCCAACCUGCCCAGAAGACCGGGACAACACUCCGAAAGGGGUGCUAAUACCGGAUGUGCCCAUUUUGCCACAUGGCUUAAUGAGUAAAUCAUUUAUGGCUUCUGGAGGGGGCUGCGGCCUAUCAGCUAGAUGGUGGGGUAAUGGCCUACCAUGGCGUCGACGGGUAGCUGGUCUGAGAGGAUGGUCAGCCGGACUGGGACUGAGAUACGGCCCAGACUCCUACGGGGGGCAGCAAUUAGGAAUCUUGCGCAAUGGGGGCAACCCUGACGCAGCGACGCCGCGUGGAGGAUGACGGCCUUCGGGUUGUAAACUCCUUUAGUCGGGAAGAACAAAUGACGGUACCCGAUGAAUAAGCCCGGCUAACUCCGUGCCAGCAGCCGC
RNAcentral lists this ribosomal RNA (466 nucleotides) under uncultured bacterium. Its description in RNAcentral is "SSU rRNA". It matches the Rfam family "Bacterial small subunit ribosomal RNA", at positions 26 to 518 of the family's 1533-position model. The record is from RNAcentral.